UGGGGAAUUUUCCGCAAUGGGCGAAAGCCUGACGGAGCAACGCCGCGUGUGGGAAGAAGGCUUUUGGGCUGUCAACCACUUUUCUCAGGGAAGAAACUCUGACGGUACCUGAGGAAUCAGCCUCGGCUAACUCCGUGCCAACAGCCGCGGUAAUACGGAGGAGGCAAGCGGGAUCGGGAAUAAUUGGGAGCAAAGCUCGGGCAGGGGGCGCAUAAAGUGUGCUGAUAAGGGCUGGCGCUGAACACCGGG
Molecule: ribosomal RNA, 249 nt
Filed under: uncultured bacterium
Lineage: Bacteria
Description: partial 16S ribosomal RNA
Rfam family: Bacterial small subunit ribosomal RNA
Source: RNAcentral